RNAcentral lists this long non-coding RNA (1090 nucleotides) under Homo sapiens (human). RNAcentral's name for it is "HSALNT0090918". The record is from RNAcentral. Lineage: Eukaryota; Metazoa; Chordata; Mammalia; Primates; Hominidae.
CGUCGACCCCACGCCACGCAGAGGUGAAGAUACGCAGGACGUCCUCUAAAGCAACUUCCGUGGGUGCCAGGUUGUGGGCUGGGGGCGGUGCUGACCUUGAGAGAGCGGAGGAGGCGCAGGCGCAGCACAGUUUAAACUUGAUUUUGUGAGGGGACGAACAGCGUGACAAUUAAAAGAAGAUCUGGGAAUCAAAAGCUUCCUGAGGCCUUCACCAGAAGCAGAUGCUGGUGCCGUGCUUCUACAGCCUGCAGAACUGAAGGACUUUACAGCUUCUCUUUCGCAUAUCCAAAUUGCCAGCAUCACCGCUCUUGCACUCCAAGCCAUUAUUAAGUAAAGUAAAGAACACAAACACUGUGAUACUGCUACACUUGAUCUGAUAACCAAGAAGUCUACUAAGUGACUAACAGCAGAGCAACUGGGAACCUAAUUCUGACCAAAAAGGAGGAAUUGUUUGGCUAAUUGGAAGUGACAGAAACCUUGGGAGAAAGCAACCGCAUACCAAGGAUAAUUAUAAGAAGAAGAGAAGACAUGGAGAAGAGGAGGGAGUAGUUGUGACCGUGGAGGCAGAGAAUGGAGUAAUGUGAUCAUAAAUCAAGGAAUGCUGACAGCCACUAAAGCUGGAGAAGGCCAAGGACAGAUAUUCAAUCCUCCCGUAGAAGUACAGCCCUGCUAAUGCAUUGAUUUUGGACUUCUGGCCUCAGAACUGUAAGAGAAUAAAUUUCUAUUGUUUUAAGCCUUCAGUUUGUGGUAGUUUGUUACAGAAACCCUGUAAAGUUAAUACACAGAGUUCAAAGAGAAUCCGGUAAUAUCUCUAAAAGACUCGUGUAUUAGUCAGGAUUCUCCAGAGAAGCAAAGCCAAUAGAAUGAUACAUGUUGUUAAAGCAAAUUAAAAUGGAGACCAUGCCUGAAGAAUCUCUGUGCAGAGAAACCCAGUUAGGCCUCAUAAGUUAACCUUACUUGAUUUGCAAACAUAAUCUAAAAGUUAACUGGAGCUAUUUCCGGUAAAUGAAUAUAACACAACUUAAGCUCAAUCAGUCAGAAGCAGCUUUAUAAUUAUGUAGCUAGGGACUUUCCAAGAGGAUGACCAAAG